This is an RNA transcript of Mytilus californianus (California mussel), 541 nucleotides long. RefSeq lists it as uncharacterized. Lineage: Eukaryota; Metazoa; Mollusca; Bivalvia; Mytilida; Mytilidae. The transcript has 4 exons. The record is from RefSeq and is a predicted model, not a curated record.
GAGAAAUGCUAUCUCAGUGUUUUAUAUCAAAUUUGGUCUAGUAGCCAUUCAAGUACAUCAAAGAAAGAAAAAAAAACAUAAACAUGAAUACCUUAGCAAUAGUUAUCGUACUUGCUGUGAUGGUUACUUUAGCCACUGCUCGCGGUUAUGAUAGUUACAAUAGAAAUCAAAGAUCAUGGGAUUUGCAGGGCUCUAGAGGUCUGAAUAAUGGAUGGAAUAGUAGACAUCUGACUGGAAGCUGGAACAGCGGACAGCUGAUAGGGGGAUUGAAUAGCGGAGGCAGAAGAUACAAAAGAGCAGCUACUGGAUACGGGUCAUUUGAUCCAUACAGAGGCAGUCAUCUGGACAGUGGAUUAGAACGGUUGAAUACAUGGGGAACUAAUUCAAGAAGACGAUCAAAUUUAGGGUGGAGAUCUAAUUCAAGAUGGAAUCAACAAAGAUAUUAAGAAAAGACGAGGACACAAGGAGUACAUCACAACAUCUGUACAUGACAUCACUCAUCCGUAGAUUUUUACUUUUUCAAAUAAAACUGUAAAGAUUA